Molecule: ribosomal RNA, 253 nt
Filed under: uncultured bacterium
Lineage: Bacteria
Description: partial 16S ribosomal RNA
Rfam family: Bacterial small subunit ribosomal RNA
Source: RNAcentral
UACGGAGGGUGCAAGCGUUAUCCGGAUUCACUGGGUUUAAAGGGUGCGUAGGCGGGUUGGUAAGUCCGUGGUGAAAUCUCCGAGCUUAACUCGGAAACUGCCGUGGAUACUAUCAAUCUUGAAUAUCGUGGAGGUAAGCGGAAUAUGUCAUGUAGCGGUGAAAUGCUUAGAUAUGACAUAGAACACCAAUUGCGUAGGCAGCUUACUACAGGGAUAUUGACACUGAGGCACGAAAGCGUGGGGAUCAAACAGG